Long non-coding RNA from Pelmatolapia mariae (spotted tilapia), 1040 nucleotides. RefSeq lists it as uncharacterized. The record is from RefSeq and is a predicted model, not a curated record. The transcript is spliced from 3 exons. Lineage: Eukaryota; Metazoa; Chordata; Actinopteri; Cichliformes; Cichlidae.
CGGUACCAGCAAGGAAGGGUCGAGGCCACGAGAUGAAGGUCCCACCUCUUGCUGGAAUGAGCCUUAAUUUGAUAGGGGUUGGGCUGAGCCAGGACUGUGAGAAGGAAGCCGCUCCUAUUGGAUCCAGAUGUGAGCGGAAGGACAGACAACAGCUCGACUGAAAGCCACCGGACAUGAUGUGGCAGACAAUAGAGGCCGUGGACAGCUGUUAAUCUAGUAACAUCUGGCUCCGUCAACCCACAUUUUUCUCUCCCAUAGUGAAUGGAUACGGACUAUUCUCAGAAAUGACAUGGUGAUCCCUUGAUCCGCUCUUGCAUCAGAUAUGUCUGGCAUGAGAUAGCUGAAGCUAGCACAGACGUGUGCACAUACACACACACACAUAUAAGCAUCAUUUGCGGUUAUGGGGCAUGGGACAUGAGGUCUGAACAGGAGCCAUUGUAGACUGCACUACCAGGCAGCCACACUGGGGCCCAUUCGCCCCUCUGAUAUGGCUCGAGUCUGAACACCUACGUCAGCCCACAAGCAGCCCGCGUGACGUCAAGCACAUGUGUGCUUUGACCAGAAGCCUGCACGAGUUGGUUUCACACAGAGAACGAAAAGGAGGACGGAAAGGGAAGAGAGCACAAUCUUGAUGUCUCAACUAUUUGUAGCCCCUAAAACAGAAACUGAGAUCAGCUUUGAUUAGAACACGCAAAAUAAAACAGCGGUAUUAGUAUUUCACAGCGAGCAUCACUGUCAGUCUAAUGGUAUAAUUAUACGUCUGCUCUCAAAUAACUCUGAGGCAUUCUUGGUGCCCACAGUAGGGCAAUGUUCAAAUAAAAUAGCACUCUCUGGUUGACCAGCAGCUGCUGGCUUAUAUAUAAAGAGAAGUGAUACAGAUGCCAAAGGAGACAGCAAUAAAAGUAAAUCAUUUCACCAGUCAAGGGUACAUCAUGUCAGAUCGAAUGGGCAGGUUUCUUGGAAUAAAAAAAUAAAAAUCAGACCUUUGUGCGUAAGUCAAUAUUCCCCUUUGUUCUUUGUGCUUCUUGUGUAAUACAAUG